GUUUAGCGGCAACUGUCUCUAGAGGAGCUGGUGCGAUAAUACCAGCUGAAGAGGAAGGUACCAAGCACCAGCAAGUCAAGAUGAAGACGGGGCAUGCAGUAGUCAAACCUAACCCAAGCUAGUAGCUGGCAGCAGUCACAAGAGCAUCAGCAGCAACUUGAACAGUGGAAGCAAUUCAGACAUAGCGGCCGUAUCGACGCUAUAGAAGGUAUUAUGCUAGCGUGCGUUUUGCGCACAAGUUCAUUGGCCUACUAAAAACAAUCACAUGUUACCAUCGCCGCUGGGAAAUUGGUUGAAUAAAAUGCACAAUAUCAUGUAAUAAAUAAUUAUGGCUACGAUGCCUGGUGGCAUAAAUUA
This is a long non-coding RNA of Hermetia illucens (black soldier fly), 357 nucleotides long. RefSeq lists it as uncharacterized. The transcript is spliced from 2 exons. The record is from RefSeq and is a predicted model, not a curated record. NCBI's taxonomy places the organism in Eukaryota, Metazoa, Arthropoda, Insecta, Diptera, Stratiomyidae.